RNAcentral lists this transfer RNA (60 nucleotides) under Dipodomys ordii (Ord's kangaroo rat). It matches the Rfam family "tRNA", at positions 7 to 64 of the family's 71-position model. From Rfam's summary of the family: Transfer RNA (tRNA) molecules are approximately 80 nucleotides in length. Their secondary structure includes four short double-helical elements and three loops (D, anti-codon, and T loops). Further hydrogen bonds mediate the characteristic L-shaped molecular structure. tRNAs have two regions of fundamental functional importance: the anti-codon, which is responsible for specific mRNA codon recognition, and the 3' end, to which the tRNAs corresponding amino acid is attached (by aminoacyl-tRNA synthetases). tRNAs cope with the degeneracy of the genetic code in two manners: having more than one tRNA (with a specific anti-codon) for a particular amino acid; and 'wobble' base-pairing, i.e. permitting non-standard base-pairing at the 3rd anti-codon position. The record is from Rfam by way of RNAcentral. Lineage: Eukaryota; Metazoa; Chordata; Mammalia; Rodentia; Heteromyidae.
GUGGCUCAGUGGUAGAGCACUUGCUUUGCAUGCAUAAGGCCCUGGGUUCAAUUCCUCAGC